AUAAGCUUGGGAAAACUGGGUCUAAUACCGGAAAAGGACCAUGGUUUAAGUGUCUCAUGGUGGAAAAAUAAUUGUUUCGGUGCAGGAUGAGCUCGCGGCCUAUCAGCUUGUUGGUGGGGUAAUGGCCUACCAAGGCGUCGACGGGUAGCCGGCCUGAGAGGGUGGACGGCCACAUUGGGACUGAGAUACGGCCCAGACUCCUACGGGAGGCAGCAGUGGGGAAUAUUGCACAAUGGGCGCAAGCCUGAUGCAGCGACGCCGCGUGGGGGAUGACGGCUUCGGGUUGUAAACUCCUUUCGUUAGGGACGAAGCCGCACCUUUUUUUGGGUGUGGUGACGGACCUUGUAAGA
Molecule: ribosomal RNA, 350 nt
Filed under: Corynebacterium matruchotii
Lineage: Bacteria; Bacillati; Actinomycetota; Actinomycetes; Mycobacteriales; Corynebacteriaceae
Description: bacterial SSU rRNA
Rfam family: Bacterial small subunit ribosomal RNA
Source: RNAcentral